This 132-nucleotide microRNA precursor is filed under the name Oryza sativa Indica Group (long-grained rice). RNAcentral describes it as "MIR812 microRNA precursor family". It matches the Rfam family "MIR812 microRNA precursor family", at positions 37 to 169 of the family's 205-position model. The record is from Rfam by way of RNAcentral. Lineage: Eukaryota; Viridiplantae; Streptophyta; Magnoliopsida; Poales; Poaceae.
ACCGUUCGUCUUAUUUAAAAUUUUUUUAUGAUUAGUAUUUUUAUUGUUAUUAGAUGACAAAACAUGAAUAGUACUUUAUGUGUGACUAAUUUUUUAAAAAUUUUCAUAAAUUUUUCAAAUAAGACGAACGGU